GAUGAACGCUGGCGGCGUGCCUAAUACACGCAAGUCGAGCGAACAGACGAGGAGCUUGCUCCUCUGACGUUAGCGGCGGACGGGUGAGUAACACGUGGAUAACCUACCUAUAAGACUGGGAUAACUUCGGGAAACCGGAGCUAAUACCGGAUAAUAUAUUGAACCGCAUGGUUCAAUAGUGAAAGACGGUUUUGCUGUCACUUAUAGAUGGAUCCGCGCCGCAUUAGCUAGUCGGUAAGGUAACGGCUUACCAAGGCAACGAUGCGUAGCCGACCUGAGAGGGUGAUCGGCCACACUGGAACUGAGACACGGUCCAGACUCCUACGGGAGGCAGCAGUAGGGAAUCUUCCGCAAUGGGCGAAAGCCUGACGGAGCAACGCCGCGUGAGUGAUGAAGGUCUUCGGAUCGUAAAACUCUGUUAUUAGGGAAGAACAAAUGUGUAAGUAACUAUGCACGUCUUGACGGUACCUAAUCAGAAAGCCACGGCUAACUACGUG
This 497-nucleotide ribosomal RNA is filed under the name uncultured bacterium. RNAcentral's name for it is "partial 16S ribosomal RNA". It matches the Rfam family "Bacterial small subunit ribosomal RNA", at positions 28 to 507 of the family's 1533-position model. The record is from RNAcentral.